AAUGAGAGAAAGACAAAUCAUAUUUUUUUCUUCUAAUUUUUAGUUUUUUUUCCUGGAAAAAUUCAAAUCCAACUUAAAAAUGCUGAAAAUCAAGAGGAAAGAUAUGAUUUGUCAUUCUACCAUU
Molecule: non-coding RNA, 124 nt
Organism: Gossypium raimondii (Peruvian cotton)
Lineage: Eukaryota; Viridiplantae; Streptophyta; Magnoliopsida; Malvales; Malvaceae
Source: Rfam